This 72-nucleotide transfer RNA is filed under the name Ovis aries (sheep). It matches the Rfam family "tRNA". Rfam says of the family: Transfer RNA (tRNA) molecules are approximately 80 nucleotides in length. The record is from Rfam by way of RNAcentral. Lineage: Eukaryota; Metazoa; Chordata; Mammalia; Artiodactyla; Bovidae.
UCCCUGGUGGCUCAGAUGGUAAAGUGUCUGCCUACAGUGCAGGAGACCCGGGUUCGGUCCCUGGGUUGGGAA